UGCGUCUUGUACUGUUUAAGUACACUCCCAAGUAACUUGAGCGGGUUUUGAUUGAGAUAUAUUGUUUCAAUAUGGCAGGUUGUCUUGCUCUGUUCCUGUGUACUGGCAUUCUUCCUGAAUUACUGUAUAUUUCUUAAUACGACACUAAAUUCAGCACUAACGCAGACAAUUUGCGAUAACUUGAAGGAUUUCUUUACCAUUGGACUUGGCUGGGUGAUAUUUGGUGGCCUUCCAUUUGAUAUUUUGAAUGUCAUUGGGCAAUGUCUCG
Molecule: long non-coding RNA, 268 nt
Organism: Rosa chinensis
Lineage: Eukaryota; Viridiplantae; Streptophyta; Magnoliopsida; Rosales; Rosaceae
Exons: 3
Source: RefSeq, a predicted model, not a curated record